Molecule: ribosomal RNA, 475 nt
Filed under: uncultured bacterium
Lineage: Bacteria
Description: SSU rRNA
Rfam family: Bacterial small subunit ribosomal RNA
Source: RNAcentral
AGGAUAAACGCUGGCGGCGUGCAUGAGACAUGCAAGUCGAACGGACGACUCGGGCUUGCUCGAGUCGUUAGUGGCGAACGGCUGAGUAACGCGUAGGUGACCUGCCCCCGAAGUGGGGAAUAACUGCCCGAAAGGGUGGCUAAUACCGCAUGUGGUCGCACGUUCACUCGUGCGAGUAAAGCCGCAAGGCGCUUCGGGAGGGGCCUGCGUCCGAUUAGCUCGUUGGUGGGGUAACGGCUCACCAAGGCGACGAUCGGUAGGUGGUCUGAGAGGACGAUCACCCAGACUGGGACUGAGACACGGCCCAGACUCCUACGGGAGGCAGCAGUCGGGAAUUUUGCUCAAUGGGCGAAAGCCUGAAGCAGCAACGCCGCGUGAGGAUGACGGCCUUCGGGUUGUAACCUCUUUCUCAGGGACGAUGAUGACGGUACCUGAGGAAUAAGCCACGGCAACUACGCGCCAGCAGCCGCGGUAA